Molecule: transfer RNA, 811 nt
Filed under: uncultured Prochlorococcus sp.
Lineage: Bacteria; Bacillati; Cyanobacteriota; Cyanophyceae; Synechococcales; Prochlorococcaceae
Description: partial 16S-23S ribosomal RNA intergenic spacer; may also contain 16S ribosomal RNA and 23S ribosomal RNA
Rfam family: tRNA (bases 250-322)
Source: RNAcentral
AGACAUCACUGAUUUGAUGCCUGAAUUUUUAUUUCAGGUCAUAAUCCUGUCACCUUAGGUCGAUCGGUACCUCAAUUUGAAUAUUUAAAAACUAAGAAAUUAGUUUUUAGAAUCUUGAAUUCAGUUCCUAAACUUUGUCUAGGUCACACCCAACAAGGGUACUCCUGGGCCAUUAGCUCAGGUGGUUAGAGCGCACCCCUGAUAAGGGUGAGGUCCCUGGUUCAAGUCCAGGAUGGCCCAUUCGGUGUUGGGGGUAUAGCUCAGUUGGUAGAGCGCCUGCUUUGCAAGCAGGAUGUCAGCGGUUCGAGUCCGCUUACCUCCACUGAUCAAACCCCUGAACUCGAAGCCAAAGGAGACUAUCUUUGAUGUGAUCUAGAAUUUGUUCCUUAUGAAUGAACCUAGCUUCUUGUCAUUCCUACAAAAUAUUUGUUUUGUAUGGCUGAUAUGAUGCUGGGCUCCCUGUAAUCAAAAUUACAGAGAUGUUCAGUAGAACCUUGACAACUGCAUAGGUGAGUCUGGAAAGAAUAAAGCAUCUCAUGAAUGCAUUAUUCUUUUGGGUCAAUACUUACAAUUCUGAGUUAAUCAGAAAAGUUAAGUUUGGCUUGAAAUUAUAAUGUUUAAAUUCUUGAGCAAGAGCUGAGACUCUAUAACGUUCUUUCAUUAUUAAUUUCAAUGAGAGUUAGAUCUUUGAUUUUGAAUUUAAUUUUACUUUUUUAGAUUUAAUCUAAAAUUGUUAAAUUUAAAAUCUACAAAAUCAAAGAAAAAAGUGUUAACAACACAUGACGUUUAGAGAUUAAUGGUCAAGCUACAA